GAUGAACGCUGGCGGCGUGCCUAAUACAUGCAAGUCGAGCGAACAGAUGAGGAGCUUGCUCCUCUGACGUUAGCGGCGGACGGGUGAGUAACACGUGGAUAACCUACCUAUAAGACUGGGAUAACUUCGGGAAACCGGAGCUAAUACCGGAUAAUAUAUUGAACCGCAUGGUUCAAUAGUGAAAGACGGUUUUGCUGUCACUUAUAGAUGGAUCCGCGCCGCAUUAGCUAGUUGGUAAGGUAACGGCUUACCAAGGCAACGAUGCGUAGCCGACCUGAGAGGGUGAUCGGCCGCACUGGAACUGAGACACGGUCCAGACGCCUACGGGAGGCAGCAGUAGGGAAUCUUCCGCAAAGGGCGAAAGCCUGACGGAGCAACGCCGCGUGAGUGAUGAAGGUCUUCGGAUCGUAAAACUCUGUUAUUAGGGAAGAACAAAUGUGUAAGUAACUAUGCACGUCUUGACGGUACCUAAUCAGAAAGCCACGGCUAACUACGUG
Molecule: ribosomal RNA, 497 nt
Filed under: uncultured bacterium
Lineage: Bacteria
Description: partial 16S ribosomal RNA
Rfam family: Bacterial small subunit ribosomal RNA
Source: RNAcentral